Molecule: long non-coding RNA, 1100 nt
Filed under: Mytilus galloprovincialis (Mediterranean mussel)
Lineage: Eukaryota; Metazoa; Mollusca; Bivalvia; Mytilida; Mytilidae
Source: RNAcentral
GUUUGUUUGUUUGUGUCGUUAAUUAGGCAGCAGAAAUCAAUGUACCAUUUUUCAGUCAUUAAAAUUCAUUGACGUUUGAUUUAUGCUACUGUAAAUACUACAUGUGUCCAACAAUUGUAUCUAUGGAAGAAUGUGUAAUACCACAUGCAUAUAGAGCCUCCUCGUUGGUUUUAUAAUUAUGCAAUUACUUCGCCAUUUUAAUAGUGAUUAUUUGAUUACCAAACCAAAUAUGUCAUUAUUAUUUGAUUAUUAACCAACUAAGUACAUUAUUGCCAACAAUGACUGUUUAUUAAAAAUUACAUAUUUUCUGUAAUGGCCCUUUUUUUCUGUAAUGGCCCUGUUUUUCUGUGAUGGCCCUCUUUUUCUGUAAUGGCCCUGUAUUAAUGCCCAGUUUGUCUGUAUUAAGCCCAGUUAAGAUUUUUAAUAAAGUUAAUAAAAUUAAGUUGUAAAGACUCUUUACUAAAAAGUAUAAUACUUUUUCCUAUUUUGUUAAAUUUAGUAACCAGCAACCAACAUUAAAGAACCAUAUAAAGGGAUCAGUGUUCAUAUUGUUUUUCAACACAUAACUUCUUUCAACUUAAUGUCUUAGAUAUUUGGUAUAUUUAAAGCUUUAUCAUGAGUGUGAAGUACAAAUUAUUUUUUCAAACUAAACUAUCAUUAAAAGAGUAAGAGGAUGCAUCAAGUUGGCAGCAACACAUACACUUUUGUUCAGUUGGUUAAUAAAUGUAUUAAGAAAUGGGUGUUUUUAUAAUGGCCCUGUUGUAUGUCCUCGGUCAGUAAUAAUGGCAGACUUCCUCGACUAUUAUUACAGACCUUGGACAUAUAACAGGGCCAUUAUAAAAACGCCCAUUCAUUAAUACUAUAUUAUGUAAUAUUCUAGAACUGUAAUUGUGAUUAUUUGAUUAUCUUGUUUAAAAUAAUAGUUAAUGAUUGUUUGAUUAUAUUGGCCAAACAUUUGUGAUUAUGUGAUGACUUGGACUCCCCCAUGAGGAGGCUCUCAUUAAAUAGAAAAAAAAAUGUUGUUAUUUAUUAUAUUAAUGUGACCUUUUUAAUUUUAAUUUAAGUUUCGACCUGUAUCGAUAUGAAAUAAAUACCUCAAG